Molecule: ribosomal RNA, 531 nt
Filed under: uncultured bacterium
Lineage: Bacteria
Description: bacterial SSU rRNA
Rfam family: Bacterial small subunit ribosomal RNA
Source: RNAcentral
AAUAGAUACCCAGGUAGUCCACGCCGUAAACGAUGAGUGCUAAGUGUUAGAGGGUUUCCGCCCUUUAGUGCUGCAGCUAACGCAUUAAGCACUCCGCCUGGGGAGUACGGUCGCAAGACUGAAACUCAAAGGAAUUGACGGGGGCCCGCACAAGCGGUGGAGCAUGUGGUUUAAUUCGAAGCAACGCGAAGAACCUUACCAGGUCUUGACAUCCCACUGACCGGUAUAGAGAUAUACCUUUCCCUUCGGGGACAGUGGUGACAGGUGGUGCAUGGUUGUCGUCAGCUCGUGUCGUGAGAUGUUGGGUUAAGUCCCGCAACGAGCGCAACCCUUGAUCUUAGUUGCCAGCAUUUAGUUGGGCACUCUAAGGUGACUGCCGGUGACAAACCGGAGGAAGGUGGGGAUGACGUCAAAUCAUCAUCGCCCCUUAUGACCUGGGCUACACACGUGCUACAAUGGAUGGUACAAAGGGCUGCAAGACUGCGAAGUCAAGCCAAUCCCAAUAAAACCAUUCUCAGUUCGGAUUGCAGG